Homalodisca vitripennis (glassy-winged sharpshooter) is the source of this 4104-nucleotide long non-coding RNA. RefSeq lists it as uncharacterized. The record is from RefSeq and is a predicted model, not a curated record. The transcript is spliced from 3 exons. NCBI's taxonomy places the organism in Eukaryota, Metazoa, Arthropoda, Insecta, Hemiptera, Cicadellidae.
UAAUUACAUACUCCACACAUUCCAUACGGAUAUAAACACUUAUACCGGAGACUUGAAUACAAAUAGCUGACAUGCUCUCACCAGAGUUUUAUUUCUUAACAUGCUAGAGUGGUACACUGCUGAGUUAAAUAAAACUACUGAAGGCUGCUGUACUUUUUUAAUAUUAUUGUAUAAUUUUCAGGUUUAUAAUGAUGAAUAUGGAAGAGACGAAAACCGAUCGUAAAGAGGAAUGGGCUGAAAAAUCCACAUGAAGUUCGGCGUGGUGUUAUAUUAUAUUCUCACUGAAAUGUACAACUAUUUAAAUCGCAAAUGAAUAAAAUAUUGUAUUUUAUGAAAAUGACGAUGAAGCAGUAAUGUAAAUAGAGAUGGCCUUGCUAGAGAAAAAACAAACUUCUAAAAGAAGAAAAAUGUAAACUAAAUUAAAAAUAGUGAAAAGCAAAUUACAGGAAAUGGAAAUCAAUUAAGGAUAACACAUAAGCAGGAUAUAAAUUAUGUUGCAACAAUCGCAAGAACAAUAUGAAUAAAAAACGUAAGAUAAGAAGAAAACCUUUGUCAAAAACACAAGAUAGUUUUGAAGAACAUGAUCUUAAAUUAGAACAACUAAUUGGCAACAAUUAAAAACAUAUAUACAGUAAACAAACCAUUGUAAUGUUAAAAAAGAAACUUGUUGUCAAACUCACAGGGAUUCUUACAAAAAGAAACUGAAUUUUCAGUAAAUGAAUCUACUAAAAAGUUACAAAGCUCAUCCUCUAUAGUUGAAGCAGGUAUAUCUGACCACACAGCCCAAAUAACCAAUGCACAGUUUGAAUGAUGUACCACUUCCCCAUCAAUGUUAAGCAAAUAGAAUUCAAAAUAUAAAACAUCAGUGCAUUAAGAGCUCUGUUAGAUAAAUGAAGAAUGGAAUCGAAUGUACAAUACUUCAAAUGUUGAUGAUGUGGUCAAUUUCUUAACAAUGAUUGAAAUAUCCAUUUAUGAUACUUGUACACUGGUAUCAAGUAAUCUCCAGAAAACUCCAAAAAACAAGACAUUCCCAGUUAAAGAAGCCAUUAAUCUCAAGACAUAAUACUCUACAUGUCUUAGACAUUAAUGGAGUUAACCACAUGCUUUACCAACACCUGAGAGUACUUCUGAAUCACUUGAUUCUGGGUCAGAGUUAACAUUAUUUGUUGUUUUAUUAGUGUUGGGUACCCUUGCUGAGUUGGUGGGGAUACUUUCUUUGCACACAACAGCUUAUUUUGGGCUAAAGCUAGCAUAUCGGAUAUAAAAGGUAUCUACUCCAUGCUAAUGGGUAAAUUCGGUACAUAAGAGGUUGAGGAUUUGGUUGAAUCUCCAUGGAAGGCUGGGCCUGCUAUGCAAAAAAUUCCUGUUGCAACUAAUUUAGUUAUUGUAGACACUUGAGAAUUUUUUAAUACAUUUAUUCUUGCGAUUUGAAUUUGUUUUGAUACGAAGAAUGCUGCAACAAAUCUUUGACGCAAGUUCCUUGAGUUGUUGUCACAUUCAGUUUAGCCUGUGAUGAGAUCAAGUUGUAGUCCACAGGAAGUGACAUCAUUAUGUGUUGAUUGUGAGUUAAUAUUACAGGUUGAGUAUGCAGCUGAAACACUUGAGGAUGACUAAUUUAAGUCUGGCUACUUUUAUAGGCAAAAUUGUUUUGUUCAUAUACAGAUUUUGCUGGAGCAAGUUGAGCUGCUGUUGUUGAAAAGUAUAAUAAGCAUUUCCUGUUGAGUUUGAUAGCUAUUAAGUGAUUUUGGAUGAUGUUGCGCAAGACCUGGACUCUGGCUUGUCAAUGGAGGAUUGAGUACAGCAUAUCUUGGAGGAACUUCUACAGAAGAAGAAAGGUUGACUAGCAGCAACUUGUAAGGUCUUAAAAUUAGCAGCAUCCUGAUGUACUUAGAAGCCUAUAUGAAUUCGAAGAGGACACACUGUAUUCUAAAAUAGCAUUUCCCAUAUGGAUUUUUCCUUGCUGUGUCAUGUUGUCCAAAGUCAAUUUUUUAUGGAAUCCCAAUCUUCUUGCUUUUCUUAGGUUUAGAAUGAUGAAUAUGGAAGUGGCGACUACUAAUGGUAAAGAGGAAUGAGCUGAAAAAUCCACAUCAAGUUCAGUACAGCUAAUACACUCUCACCAGACUUUAUAUUGCUGGACAUGCCAGAGGGUACACUACUGGAUUAGAGACAACUAUUGAACACUGCUGUACUUAAUUAAUAUCAUUGUAUAUUUUUCAGGUUUAGAAUGAUGAAUAUGGAAGUGGCGACUACUAAUGGUAAAGAGGAAUGGGCUGAAAAAUCCACAUCAAGUUCAGAAUGAAGAAUAUGGAAGUGACGGAAACCAACUGUAAAGAAGAAUGAGCUGAAAAAUCUACAUCAAGUUCUGCUCACCGUCAAAGCAACGAUACAGACUGAAAAAUAGUAUAUCUGCUUAAGCAUAUUUUUUAUAAUUAAACAACUGUUUUUAUUCGGCAAGAACCAUCGGUGAUCUCCAAUCCAAUCAUGCGUCAACGAUAGCCCACCCGGUCUGUCAAAGUGUCAGAAUUAAACACAACACAUCUAAUUAGUCACUAAACAUCAGCAUACGUAUGUUUGGACAACAUGUUACUGCAAGAAAACAUGUAAAUGGGAAGUGCCAAAUCGGAAUACAGUGAUCCUCUCCAAAUUCCUACAGACUUCCAGGUCGCCUGCUUAGAGGCAAUGCUAAGCCUUGAAACCUGCUGCAAGCCAACCUCUCUUCUUCUGCAGGCGUUCCUCCAGGAUAUGACGUACUCAAUCCUUCAAUGACAAGCCAGAUUCAGGUCUUGAGCAAUAUCACCCUAGAUCAACUAAUGGCCAUCAAACUCAUUAGGAAAAAGUCAUUAAUGCAUUUCCAACAUCAGCAUGCUCAACUGAAGUGUUUCAGCAUCAAACUUAACCUGUAAUAUUAACUCACAAUCUGCACUUAAUUAUUUCACUUCCUGUGAACCACAACUUGAUCUAAUCCCAGGCUAAACCGAAUGUGACAACAACUCAAGGAACUUCCGUCAAAGUUUCGUUGCAGCAUUCUUCGUAUCAAAACAAAUUCAAAUCGCAAGAAUAAAUGUAUUAAAAAAUUCUCAAGUGUCUACAAUAACUAAAUUAGUUGCAACAGGAAUUUUUUUGCAUAGCAGGCCCAGCCUUCCAUGGAGAUUCAACCAAAUCUUCAACCUCUUAUGUACCGAAUUUACCCAUUAGCAUGGAGUAGAUACCUUUUAUAUCCGAUAUGCUAGCUUUAGCCCAAAAUAAGCUGUUGUGUGCAAAGAAAGUAUCCCCACCAACUCAGCAAGGGUACCCAACACUAAUAAAACAACAAAUAAUGUUAACUCUGACCCAGAAUCAAGUGAUUCAGAAGUACUCUCAGGUGUUGGUAAAGCAUGUGGUUAACUCCAUUAAUGUCUAAGACAUGUAGAGUAUUAUGUCUUGAGAUUAAUGGCUUCUUUAACUGGGAAUGUCUUGUUUUUUGGAGUUUUCUGGAGAUUACUUGAUACCAGUGUACAAGUAUCAUAAAUGGAUAUUUCAAUCAUUGUUAAGAAAUUGACCACAUCAUCAACAUUUGAAGUAUUGUACAUUCGAUUCCAUUCUUCAUUUAUCUAGCAGAGCUCUUAAUGCACUGAUGUUUUAUAUUUUGAAUUCUAUUUGCUUAACAUUGAUGGUGAAGUGGUGCAUCAUUUAAACUGUGCUUUGGUUAUAUGGGCUGUGUGGUCAGAUAUACCUGCUUCAACUAGUGAUGUUGUCUAUAGAAAUUGAGGAUUGAAACGUUAUCCUUGUGGCAGGAAUGAACAGUCUAUAAAGAACGUGUAUAUUUAGUCUCUCAUUUAAAAUAAACUUAUCCGUGCUAUGUGUCUUUAAGCUGUCUACAUUUACAUCACCUGUCAUGACGUUGAUAACAUUGAUGGUAAAAGUUGCUAUACAUAGUAUUUAUGAUGGCUGAUUUUAGUUAUCCUUUAUAAUAAUACUAUUAUGAAAACUAAAAUUGCAAGAUUAGAAAAAAACUUAUAAUCUAACGUACAUAAGAUUUUUUAUUCAUGUUACGUUACUUGUAGCCUAUUGACAAUAAUGUUUUAUUGUUAUUUUCAAAAAAUAAAAUAAUGAAUUGUUUUGAAA